GAUGAACGCUGGCGGCGUGCCUAAUACAUGCAAGUCGAGCGAACAUACGAGGAGCUUUCUCCUCUGACGUUAGCGGCGGACGGGUGAUUAACACGUGGAUAACCUACCUAUAAGACUGGGAUAACUUCGGGAAACCGGAGCUAAUACCGGAUAAUUUAUUGACCCGCAUGGUUCAAUAGUGAAAGACGGUUUUGCUUUCACUUAUAGGUGGAUCCGCGCCGCAUUAGCUAGUUGGUAAGGUAACGGCUUACCAAGGCAACGAUGCGUAGCCGACCUGAAAGGGAGAUCGGCCACACGGGAACUGAGACACGGUCCACACUCCUACGGGAGGCAGCAGUAGGGAAUCUUCCGCAAUGGGCGAAAGCUUGACGGAGCAACGCCGCGUGAGUGAUGAAGGUCUUCGGAUCGUAAAACUCUGUUAUUCGGGAAGAACAAAUGUGUAAGUAACUAUGCACGUCUUGACGGUACCUAAUCAGAAAGCCACGGCUAACUACGUG
Molecule: ribosomal RNA, 497 nt
Filed under: uncultured bacterium
Lineage: Bacteria
Description: partial 16S ribosomal RNA
Rfam family: Bacterial small subunit ribosomal RNA
Source: RNAcentral